UUUGCAUGCGUUUGAAAUAGUAAAAUUAUACUUUUUGCUAGAUAAGCGAAAAUCAUUUGGAUUUUUAGAAACAUUGUAUUUCAUCAAUUGCACAUUCCUCGGGGUCAUCUUUCAAUCCUCAAAACUCAUCAAAAUCGAACGGGACAUUUGGUUUGCUGUCUGAUGGCUGAGUAAAUACCUGAGGUGAACCCUGAGCGGGUUUACUUUGCCGUUUGCCGUUUGCCGUUAAUCAACUAGAUACGCAGGGCAAAUCCGCAAAUGUCGGCCAAAUGAACCGUUAUCAAUUACGUAACGGAUAAAGUGCAAGCGAUAGGCAGCUCGAUGCGGAAAAGGGCUGAAGGGGUUGCAAGUUGCGUAUUGUAUGUGGCAAGCAUAGAGUUGCCCCUAAGCUAAGGGUUCUAUGCGCCUCUCUAAGACGGGGCAACGCGGGCAAAAGGUUGAUGAACUCCCAAGAAACUUGCACAUCAAUUUGUCUUCUCUUUGUUUGCAGUCUGACCCACAGGAUACACGCAGGAUACUCGCAUCGAAAGGCAUCGAAUGGGCAACCCUACUCAAUGUCGGGACCUCAACAUUUGAUAUAUGAUGUGCCGAAAAAGAUGCCGUCUUAGAAUUGUUAUUGUCUAAAGAAAGGGUUUCGAUAUUUCCAUACCGAAACAAAAGAAAUUUGACGAGAUGUGAGUGAGUUUUAU
Molecule: long non-coding RNA, 689 nt
Organism: Drosophila albomicans
Lineage: Eukaryota; Metazoa; Arthropoda; Insecta; Diptera; Drosophilidae
Exons: 3
Source: RefSeq, a predicted model, not a curated record